This 916-nucleotide ribosomal RNA is filed under the name uncultured bacterium. RNAcentral's name for it is "bacterial SSU rRNA". It matches the Rfam family "Bacterial small subunit ribosomal RNA", at positions 246 to 1155 of the family's 1533-position model. The record is from RNAcentral.
UUGUUGGUAAGGUAAAAGCUUACCAAGGCUUCGAUCAGUAGCUGGUCUGAGAGGACGACCAGCCACACUGGGACUGAGACACGGCCCAGACUCCUACGGGAGGCAGCAGUGGGGAAUUUUGGACAAUGGGGGCAACCCUGAUCCAGCCAUGCCGCGUGAGUGAAGAAGGCCUUCGGGUUGUAAAGCUCUUUCAGCCGGAACGAAACGGUUACGGUUAACACCCGUGACUACUGACGGUACCGGAAGAAGAAGCACCGGCUAACUAUGUGCCAGCAGCCGCGGUAAUACGUAGGGUGCGAGCGUUAAUCGGAAUUACUGGGCGUAAAGCGUGCGCAGGUGGUUUUGUAAGUCAGAUGUGAAAGCCCCGGGCUCAACCUGGGAACUGCGUUUGAAACUACAAGACUAGAGUGUGGCAGAGGGGGGUGGAAUUYCGCGUGUAGCAGUGAAAUGCGUAGAGAUGUGGAGGAACACCGAUGGCGAAGGCAGCCCCCUGGGUCAACACUGACGCUCAGGCACGAAAGCAUGGGGAGCAAACAGGAUUAGAUACCCUGGUAGUCCAUGCCCUAAACGAUGUCAACUAGUUGUCGGGCCUUUACGGGCUUGGUAACGUAGCUAACGCGUGAAGUUGACCGCCUGGGGAGUACGAUCGCAAGAUUAAAACUCAAAUGAAUUGACGGGGACCCGCACAAGCGGUGGAUUAUGUGGAUUAAUUCGAUGCAACGCGAAAAGCCUUACCUACCCUUGACAUGUAUCGAAGCCCGCAGAAAAGCGGGGGUGCCCGAAAGGGAACGAUAACACAGGUGCUGCAUGGCUGUCGUCAGCUCGUGUCGUGAGAUAUUGGGUUAAGUCCCGCAACGAGCGCAACCCUUGUCAUUAAUUGCCAUCAUUUAGUUGGGCACUUUAAUGAGACUGCCGG